Molecule: ribosomal RNA, 112 nt
Filed under: Otolemur garnettii (small-eared galago)
Lineage: Eukaryota; Metazoa; Chordata; Mammalia; Primates; Galagidae
Source: RNAcentral
GUCUAUAGCUGUACCAUACUGAACGUGCCUAAUCUCAUCUGAUCUCAGAAGCUAAGCCGGGUCGGGCCCAGCUUGGAUGAGAAAAAAAAAUCAUGGACGGUCACAGUGGCUC